CCUACGGGCGGCAGCAGUGAGGAAUAUUGGUCAAUGGGCGCGAGCCUGAACCAGCCAAGUAGCGUGAAGGAUGACUGCCCUACGGGUUGUAAACUUCUUUUAUAAAGGAAUAAAGAGAGGCACGUGUGCCUUGUUGUAUGUACUUUAUGAAUAAGGAUCGGCUAACUCCGUGCCAGCAGCCUCGGUAAGACGGAGGAUCCGAGCGUUAUCCGGAUUGAUUGGGUUUAAAGGGAGCGUAGAUGGGUUGUUAAGUCAGUGGUGAAAGUUUGCGGCUCAACCGGAAAAUUGCAAUUGAUACUGGCAGUCUUGAUUACAGUUGAGGUAGGCGGAAUUCGUGGUGUAGCGGUCACAUGCUUCGAUAUCACGCACAACUCCGAUUGCGACGGCAGCUUACUAAACUGCCACUGACAUUGCUGCUCGAAAGUGUGGGUAUCAAACAGGAUUAGCUACCCCUGUAGUC
RNAcentral lists this ribosomal RNA (460 nucleotides) under uncultured bacterium. Its description in RNAcentral is "partial 16S ribosomal RNA". It matches the Rfam family "Bacterial small subunit ribosomal RNA", at positions 338 to 795 of the family's 1533-position model. The record is from RNAcentral.